This 254-nucleotide ribosomal RNA is filed under the name uncultured bacterium. RNAcentral describes it as "partial 16S ribosomal RNA". It matches the Rfam family "Bacterial small subunit ribosomal RNA", at positions 524 to 776 of the family's 1533-position model. The record is from RNAcentral.
UACGUAGGGUGCAAGCGUUUGUCCGGAUUUAUUGGGCGUAAAGAGCUCGUAGGCGGCUUGUCGCGUCGUCCGUGAAAACCCACAGCUCAACUGUGGGCUUGCGGUCGAUACGGGCAGGCUAGAGUUCGGUAGGGGAGACUGGAAUUCCUGGUGUAGCGGUGAAAUGCGCAGAUAUCAGGAGGAACACCGGUGGCGAAGGCGAGUCUCUGGGCCGAUACUGACGCUGAGGAGCGAAAGCGUGGGGAGCGAACAGG